Molecule: ribosomal RNA, 497 nt
Filed under: uncultured bacterium
Lineage: Bacteria
Description: partial 16S ribosomal RNA
Rfam family: Bacterial small subunit ribosomal RNA
Source: RNAcentral
GAUGAACGCUGGCGGCGUGCCUAAUACAUGCAAGUCGAGCGAACAGACUAGGAGCUUGCUCCUCUUACGUUAGCGGCGGACGGGUGAGUAACACGUGGAUCACCUACCUAUAAGACUGGGAUAACUUCGGGAAACCGGAGCUAAUACCGGAUAAUAUAUUGAACCGCAUGGUUCAAUAGUGAAAGACGGUUUUGCUGUCACUUAUAGAUGGAUCCGCGCCGCAUUAGCUAGUUGGUAAGGUAACGGCUUACCAAGGCAACGAUGCGUAGCCGACCUGGGAGAGUGAUCGGCCACGCUGGAACUGAGACACGGCCCAGACGCCUACGGGAGGCAGCAGUAGGGAAUCUGCCGCAAUGGGCGAAAGAAUGACGGAGCAACGCCGCGUGAGUGAUGAAGGUCUUCGGAGCGUAAAACUCUGUUAUUAGGGAAGAAAAAAUGUGUAAGUAACUAUGCAGGUAUUGACGGUACCUAAUCAGAAAGCCACGGCUAACUACGUG